GACAGAGGAUGCAAGCGUUAUCCGGAAUGAUUGGGCGUAAAGCGUCUGUAGGUGGCUUUUCAAGUCCGCCGUCAAAUCCCAGGGCUCAACCCUGGACAGGCGGUGGAAACUGCCAAGCUGGAGGACGGUAGGGGCAGAGGGAAUUUCCGGUGGAGCGGUGAAAUGCGUUGAGAUCGGCAGGAACACCAACGGCGAAAGCGCUCUGCUGGGCCGACACUGACACUGAGAGACGAAAGCUAGGGGAGCAAAUGGG
Molecule: ribosomal RNA, 253 nt
Filed under: uncultured bacterium
Lineage: Bacteria
Description: partial 16S ribosomal RNA
Rfam family: Bacterial small subunit ribosomal RNA
Source: RNAcentral